GCCUCCCUCUGGCGGCGUGCCUAAUACAUGCAAGUAGAACGCACAGUUUAUACCGUAGCUUGCUACACCAUAGACUGUGAGUUGCGAACGGGUGAGUAACGCGUAGGUAACCUGCCUGGUAGCGGGGGAUAACUAUUGGAAACGAUAGCUAAUACCGCAUCAUAUUAAUUAUUGCAUGAUAAUUAAUUGAAAGGUGCAAUUGCACCACUACCAGAUGGCCCUGCGUUGUAUUAGCUAGUAGGUGAGGUAACGGCUCACCUAGGCGACGAUACAUAGCCGACCUGAGAGGGUGAUCGGCCACACUGGGACUGAGACACGGCCCAGACUCCUACGGGAGGCAGCAGUAGGGAAUCUUCGGCAAUGGACGAAAGUCUGACCGAGCAACGCCGCGUGAGUGAAGAAGGUUUUCGGAUCGUAAAGCUCUGUUGUAAGAGAAGAACGGGUGUGAGAGUGGAAAGUUCACACUGUGACGGUAUCUUACCAGAAAGGGACGGCUAACUACGUG
RNAcentral lists this ribosomal RNA (505 nucleotides) under uncultured bacterium. Its description in RNAcentral is "partial 16S ribosomal RNA". It matches the Rfam family "Bacterial small subunit ribosomal RNA", at positions 36 to 507 of the family's 1533-position model. The record is from RNAcentral.